GACGAACGCUGGCGGCGUGCUUAACACAUGCAAGUCGAACGGAAAGGCCCUGCUUUUGUGGGGUGCUCGAGUGGCGAACGGGUGAGUAACACGCGAGUAACCUGCCCUUGACUUUGGGAUAACUUCAGGAAACUGGGGCUAAUACCGGAUAGGAGCUCCUGCUGCAUGGUGGGGGUUGGAAAGUUUCGGCGGUGGUGGAUGGACUCGCGGCUUAUCAGCUUGUUGGUAGGGUAGUGGCUUACCAAGGCUUUGACGGGUAGCCGGCCUGAGAGGGUGACCGGCCACAUUAGGACUGAGAUACGGCGCAGACUCCUACGGGAGGCAGCAGUGGGGAAUAUUGCACAAUAAGCGGAAGCCUGAUGCAGCAACGCCGCGUGCGGGAUGACGGCCUUCGGGGGGUAAACCGCUUUCGCCUGUGACGAAGCGUGAGUGACGGUAAUGGGUAAAGAAGCACCGGCUAACUACGUG
RNAcentral lists this ribosomal RNA (468 nucleotides) under uncultured bacterium. RNAcentral describes it as "partial 16S ribosomal RNA". It matches the Rfam family "Bacterial small subunit ribosomal RNA", at positions 28 to 507 of the family's 1533-position model. The record is from RNAcentral.